Molecule: non-coding RNA, 45 nt
Filed under: Echinostoma caproni
Lineage: Eukaryota; Metazoa; Platyhelminthes; Trematoda; Plagiorchiida; Echinostomatidae
Source: RNAcentral
ACACUGCUGAACAGUCCGACAUAGGACGAAACAGCUGUCCAGUAC